RNAcentral lists this long non-coding RNA (1073 nucleotides) under Homo sapiens (human). Its description in RNAcentral is "non-protein coding lnc-NIPA1-4:1". Lineage: Eukaryota; Metazoa; Chordata; Mammalia; Primates; Hominidae. The record is from RNAcentral.
GGCGUCCCAAGACCUCAUCUGCCUGCAGCGUCACACCGAUGGCCUGGCCUUGUCUUCUGAUUAUUUGCAACUGCCAUGGAUGUUUACAGGAACCCAGCCAGAGUUUGCCUCCCUGCACUUCAUCCCAGAGCGCACCUGCUUCCCCCACUUCACCUUCGGAGAGGACACUUCAAACUGCGGACACACGCAAAAGUAACUCCCAGCUCUGUUUGAUGUGAGUUGAGCCUUCAGGCCAGCUGGGUUUAGCCCGAGGCUGGUCUUAGAUGCAGCGACUGUUUCAGAGUGACUCAGAAGAAAAAGAAGCUGAGGAAGCUGUUGGGGGGCUGAGGAUGGGAUUCUCGCUUCUUCAUUUCAGGUUACUCGUUCCUCAGCAAGUUGGCAAAACAGAUAUCAUGCUGGCAAUUGAAAAGCUGCAGGCCGGUGCUCUUGCAACUGACGCAGUCACUGCAGCACUGGUGGAACUUGAGGUGUACACACACAGUUAUGCUUCAUGGAGUUGCAUCCAACCAAGUAUCCAUGUUCUUCUUGUGAAGAGGCAGAGAAAAUCACCUCUCCCAAGAAUUUCCACCUUCUGAACAAGGGAAAUGUAUCCUGAAGAGCUGUACGUAGAUGGGAGGCAACUUGUUUGCUUGUUCUGCUGCUGGAGCAUUGAUUUAAUUAGAAGACAGGCUGUGGGUGGCCAUGUGCAGACAAAGAAGCACCAGACAGAGCCCGUUUAGCCUGGGUCAGUAAGAAUCUGCUUGAGAAGAUGGUGCCUGUGUCAGUGCGGCAGUCUUUGGCUGCCUGUGAUCAGAGGAAAGCCGAUUUGUUAACAGAUCAAUUGCUCAGAUGAGAGAAGCCACCACUUUGGCAAAUGGGGUGCUAGCUUCCCUUAAUCUUCCAGCAGCAAUUGAAGAUGUGUCUGGAGACACUGUACCUCAGUCUAUAUUGACUAAAUCCAGAUCUGUGAUUGAACAGGGAGGCAUCCAGACUGUUGAUCAGUUGAUUAAAGAACUGCCUGAAUUGCUGCAAUGAAAUAGAGAAAUCCUAGAUGAGUCAUUAAGGUUGUUGGAUGAAGAAGAAGCAACCGAUAA